GGAGAGAUGCCCGAGUGGUUAAAGGGGACGGACUGUAAAUCCGUUGGCUCAGCCUACGUUGGUUCAAAUCCAACUCUCUCCA
Rhizobium tibeticum is the source of this 82-nucleotide transfer RNA. It matches the Rfam family "tRNA". From Rfam's summary of the family: Transfer RNA (tRNA) molecules are approximately 80 nucleotides in length. Their secondary structure includes four short double-helical elements and three loops (D, anti-codon, and T loops). NCBI's taxonomy places the organism in Bacteria, Pseudomonadati, Pseudomonadota, Alphaproteobacteria, Hyphomicrobiales, Rhizobiaceae. The record is from Rfam.